GCCAGCAUAGCAUAGUGAUUUAAGUGUUGGGCUACAAUUCUGGAGGCCAGGGUUCAAUUCCCAGUUCAGCCA
Molecule: transfer RNA, 72 nt
Filed under: Phrynosoma platyrhinos (Desert horned lizard)
Lineage: Eukaryota; Metazoa; Chordata; Lepidosauria; Squamata; Phrynosomatidae
Description: tRNA-OTHER
Source: RNAcentral